RNAcentral lists this ribosomal RNA (540 nucleotides) under Parengyodontium album. RNAcentral describes it as "partial large subunit ribosomal RNA". It matches the Rfam family "Eukaryotic large subunit ribosomal RNA", at positions 84 to 646 of the family's 3401-position model. Lineage: Eukaryota; Fungi; Ascomycota; Sordariomycetes; Hypocreales; Cordycipitaceae. The record is from RNAcentral.
UAACGGCGAGUGAAGCGGCAACAGCUCAAAUUUGAAAUCUGGUCCCCAGGGCCCGAGUUGUAAUUUGUAGAGGAUGCUUUUGGCGAGGCGCCUUCCGAGUUCCCUGGAACGGGACGCCACAGAGGGUGAGAGCCCCGUCUGGUCGGAUGCCAAGCCUAUGUAAAGCUCCUUCGACGAGUCGAGUAGUUUGGGAAUGCUGCUCAAAAUGGGAGGUAUAUGUCUUCUAAAGCUAAAUACCGGCCAGAGACCGAUAGCGCACAAGUAGAGUGAUCGAAAGAUGAAAAGCACUUUGAAAAGAGGGUUAAAAAGUACGUGAAAUUGUUGAAAGGGAAGCGCCUAUGACCAGACUUGGGCCCGGUGAAUCAUCCAGCGUUCUCGCUGGUGCACUUUGCCGGGCACAGGCCAGCAUCAGUUUGGCGCGGGGGACAAAGGCUUCGGGAAUGUGGCUCCCCUCGGGGAGUGUUAUAGCCCGUUGCGCAAUACCCUGCGCCGGACUGAGGUACGCGCUCCGCAAGGAUGCUGGCGUAAUGGUCAUCAGGG